Molecule: unclassified non-coding RNA, 217 nt
Filed under: rhizosphere metagenome
Description: partial ribosomal RNA internal transcribed spacer region
Source: RNAcentral
GUAGGUGAACCUGCGGAAGGAUCAUUAAAAAAGGAUGUCACUUGUGACAUACCCCAUCCGUGUCUAUAUACUCUUGUUGCUUUGGCAGGCCGUGGUCUUGACCCUGUGGGCUUUAUGCCUGCAAGUGCCUGCCAGAGGACCCCUAAACUCUGAAUGUUAGUGUCGUCUGAGUACUAUUAAAUAGUUAAAACUUUCAACAACGGAUCUCUUGGUUCUG